This 326-nucleotide long non-coding RNA is filed under the name Solanum tuberosum (potato). RNAcentral describes it as "long non-coding RNA (STUB_LNC006239)". The record is from RNAcentral. Lineage: Eukaryota; Viridiplantae; Streptophyta; Magnoliopsida; Solanales; Solanaceae.
GAAGAGAGGAAGCUGAAGAACUGAAGAGCUGAAGAGCUGAGCUGAAGAUUCUCUUCUCCAGAACCUGAUUUUCUUGAAGAGAUGAAGAGUUGAAGCUAAAGAACUGAGGAUCGAAGAACUGAAGAGAGGAAGCUGAAGAACUGAGCUGAAGAUUUCUCCUAUACCGAUUUUGUGAAGCGUAAGUACCGAUUUCGUACAGCUGAGAUUCCUUUUUAUUCUCUACUAAUCAUCUAGUACUAAAAACAGUCAAUUGAUUGAAUUUUUGUUUUGUGUUUAGAAGGAAUUGAUUACUUUGGGGGUUCUUACAGCUGAAAUUUCAAAGUAGG